GAUGAACGCUGGCGGCGUGCCUAAUACAUGCAAGUCGAGCGAACAGAUGAGGAGCUUGCUCCUCUGACGUUAGCGGCGGACGGGUGAGUAACACGUGGAUAACCUACCUAUAAGACUGGGAUAACUUCGGGAAACCGGAGCUAAUACCGGAUAAUAUAUUGAACCGCAUGGUUCAAUAGUGAAAGACGGUUUUGCUGUCACUUAUAGAUGGAUCCGCGCCGCAUUAGCUAGUUGGUAAGGUAACGGCUUACCAAGGCAACGAUGCGUAGCCGACCUGAGAGGGUGAUCGGCCAAACUGGAACUGAGACACGGUCCAGACUCCUACGGGAGGCAGCAGUAGGGAAUCUUCCGCAAUGGGCGAAAGCCUGACAGUGCAACGCCGCGUGAGUGAUGAAGGUCUUCGGAUCGUAAAACUCUGUUAUUAGGGAAGAACAAAUGUGUAAGUAACUAUGCACGUCUUGACGGUACCUAAUCAGAAAGCCACGGCUAACUACGUG
This 497-nucleotide ribosomal RNA is filed under the name uncultured bacterium. RNAcentral's name for it is "partial 16S ribosomal RNA". It matches the Rfam family "Bacterial small subunit ribosomal RNA", at positions 28 to 507 of the family's 1533-position model. The record is from RNAcentral.